This 6812-nucleotide long non-coding RNA is filed under the name Podarcis lilfordi (Lilford's wall lizard). The record is from RNAcentral. Lineage: Eukaryota; Metazoa; Chordata; Lepidosauria; Squamata; Lacertidae.
GAAAACACUUAAGCCACUCCAAAAAAGGCUGAAGUAAAAACAGUAGGUUAGGAGAAUUCUUAAAUCAUUGCUCUGCCCUUGUUAUUUCUUGUUAAAACAUAGUGUUAACAUAUUGUAUGAAUGUCAUUGCAGGUGCUCUGCUUGCAAAUCACUGGUGUUUGGGUGAUGGCAAAGAUUCAGAGCUUUGCACUUCGACAGGUUAGUUUGAGCCUGUGAAGCCUGUGCACACCGGUAAGUAUGUAAAGAACUGCAGGAUUGUGCGUGUGUGUACAACUAAUAAACAUGUUAAGAUGCAAUAUAAAAGAGCACAAAGAGAAGUGCUAGGAAGGCAAAGCAAUGAGAAAGAAAAUACAGUGGUACCUCUAGUUACGAACUUAAUUCAUUCCAGAGGUCUGUUCUUAAUCUGAAACUGUUCUUAACUAGAGGCGUGCUUUCGCUAAUGGAGCCUCUUGAUGCCACUGUGCCGCCGGCACAUGAUUUUUGUUCUCAUCCUGGGGCAAAGUUCUCAACUCGAGGUAACUUUUCCUGGUUAGCGGAGUUUGUAACCUGAAGCAUUUGUAACUCAAGGUACCACUGUAAUGCCGAUAAAGCAAUCUACGUACUUUCACAGAACUGCUUGAAUAUUCGUCCUCCAUUGCAAUUAAGUUUUCACUUGCUCUCUGCAUUCACUUAUGCCUUUCUUUCUUUCUUUCUUUCUUUCUUUCUUUCUUUCUUUCUUUCUUUCUUCAUUCUCUAGGUGAGCUUCCUGCUCCUGUUUGCUUAUUAAAUGCAAGUUUGGUUCCUGAAGUGAAAAUUAUCUUCGCACUAUGUGUUUGCCCAUUAGAGGUUGUGCUGACCAAAUUUCUUUUUUGUAAAGACGGGGCUCUUAUUUCAUCCAGAAAGCAAUAUCCCAAAAUGCUCAAUAAAUAGUCUAUGCAUUCUCGAAGAAUGCUGGCCAGUAUUCAGAGUUGCUGUAUCCUAAAAUUCUCAUCCUAUUGGAAACUUGACAUAGGAUUUCCUCAUAAGAUCUUUUUGCUCACCUAACUAUUAAUCUUCUAUACCUUCUAAAAAAUUAAAUAGAGAGUUUACAACCCCAAAUGUCUAAAUAAAAAUGGAGGUGGCAUUAAAAUGCUUUAAAUAAAUAAAACAGAAUAGAACAUUGCAUGCACUUUCCACCAAAAAAGAAAUAAAUGAAGGCAGUAUACAACAAACAAUUAUUGGGGGAGGGGGAGAACAGUGCUUAAAAAGAAAUACAGUAAGACAAAAAUAAAGGUUAUAAAGCAAUCUAAUUCCACAUGAUUACUCAAAUGUUCACUCUAUUGCAAAAACAUUUUCACUUACUCUCUUUAUUCAUUUAGGCUCUUUAUUUCUUCAGUUCGUUCGUUCUCUAGGUAAACUUCCUGCUACUGAUUUAUUUUUGAAUGCAACUUUGGUUCAUGAAGGGGAAUUUAUCACAGCACUAUGUGUGGCUCCAUAAGAGGUUAUGCUGACCAGAUUUUUUUCCUGUAAAGAUGGGGCUCCUGUUUCAUUCAAGAAAGCAACAUUUCAAAAUGCUCAAUACAUAGUCUAUGCAUUGCCAAAGAAUGCUGGCUACUAUUCCUGUGCAGCAGAAGGAUGCAAAGAACCAAGUGAAGACAUCUGCCCUCAGUGUUGCUCAGAAUCUGAUUCUCCAAUCAGGUAAGGUUGUAGAAAUGAUCAGUCUAGGAAGACACCUGCAAGAGAAUGUUGCAAGGUGGGAUAGUCCUGUUUAGAGUUCCAGCUAGCCAGCUGUGACAUAUUCCAGCAUAGUUAAUUUCAUUCUACAUCCAUUUGGUUUCUAUUCCCCCACAAAAAUUAAUCAGUAUUUCCUAGCCAAAGAGCAUGUUCAGUCCUCCCUAGUCUGCUUUUGAGAUUCAACCUUACAGUGUUGUUCAUCGGUUUACAUACAAACUGUGAAAAGUAUUCAUGUGUCCGGUUUAUGUGUCUGGCCUUUACGGAUGGGACUUAGAUCAGCUCAAGUCCAUCUCGUUUUAUUUUUGCUGGCACUGCAUACGUUACUAAAGAAUGCAUGAAAAGUUACAGGUGUUGUUCUAUCCAACUAUACUUUCAGCAGGCCCAAUGGAAUUAAUAGAUCCUAGUUAGUCGCAACCAUUGACUUCAGUGGGAACCAUUGACUUUAGUUGGAAAGAAAUCCACUGUUAUGAUGCACAUUCAUACAUACAUUAAACGACACCAUUUGUAUGCAUUCCUCAAAAUAUGUAUUUUUACAAUACUUUUCAAUGCAUUUCCUAAUAAAAUACACAAUAUGUUAAAAUAAAUAUUUCUGUGGGCACUUUUGUGGCAAAACGACAUUACAAAAUCGAGAGAAGUUUGUGAAUCAACCAGGAGUUUUCUUCUGGUCAACAGGGGAGAGAUCAACCAUUUCUUACCCUUUGUUGUUCUUGAUGGCUUGAUGAGCCAUGCUUUUCUGAUAUUGUCCAUGUUUUUUCUUGCCCAUGUAAUUGUCCUUCCAAUGGUAAGUAAGCAUCCUUAGUGAGUAAAAAUAUUUAUUUAUCUUAUUGUUUGUUUUAGUAUGUCAUUUUAAAUCUUAGCACAGAAACAAAAUAAUGCAAUUUAUACUCAAACACAAGCACAAAAAGAAAACUUUUUUAUCAUUCCCCAACAGAGACCAUUAAUACCCUGAGACCACAUUAAUAGAAUCUUUUUACUACUGUAAAAAGUUUGAUAGCNNNNNNNNNNNNNNNNNNNNNNNNNNNNNNNNNNNNNNNNNNNNNNNNNNNNNNNNNNNNNNNNNNNNNNNNNNNNNNNNNNNNNNNNNNNNNNNNNNNNAGGGGUGAACAUGGUGGUUUUCCAUUCAUCCCCCUUCCUUAUUCGUAUCAGGUUGUACGCCCCCCCUUAAAUCCAGCUUGGUGAAAAUCUUUCCUUUCGCACCCUUGUCACAAUGUCGUCAAUCCUGGGCCUCGGGAAGGCCACUGGUUCUGACACUGCAUUUAAGGCCCUGAAGUCACACACCAGUCUCGGCUUGUUCGUGUUUUUUUUGUCCACAAAAACACUGGGCUGCCCCCACCGCCCUGGACUCUCUGAUGAACCCUCUCUUCAGGUUCUUGUCAAUGAACUCUCUUAGCUCCUGCAUCUCUCUGUCUGACAUGGCGUACAGCUUGCCCACAGGGAGCUGUGCCCCAGGGAGCAAAUUGAUUUGACAGUCAAAGGCUCUAUGCGGUGGUAGUUGGUCAGCUUCCCUUUCGCUGAAGACGUCGCGGAGAUCUGCGUAUUGUCGUGGUACCUUCACGUUCUCCUUCACUUCAGUCCCUGCUAGGGUGGCUUGGGCCCCUGCCAAAACCUUUCCCUCUUUGCAAUGUUCUAAGCAAUGUGCUGACCCAAAAGAAACCACUCUCUGAUGCCAGCCCACCAGCGGAUCAUGUAACGCUAGCCAGCUCAUCCCCAAUAUAAUGGGAGCUCCUCCCAAGGUGGCCACAUUAAAAGCUAUCAGUUCAGUGUGCCUUGCCACCUUCAUUAUCAUUGGGACGGUCUGCAAGCUGACUUCUCCUCCCAACAGCUCCCUGCCAUCGAUCGUGGUUACCUGCAGGGGUUGCUUAAAGGAGCGUCUGUAUCUGGUGUUCAGCUGCAAACUCUUUGCUCAUGAAAUUGCAGGAGCUGCCUGAGUCCAACAGCGCCUUUAUCUUUAGAGGGUGUCCGUUUGGGAGCUCUAGUGUCACUUCUAUCACUAGGGCGGGUUUAGGAGGUUCUGGAGUGGGCACUUUCACUGCUCUUUGGCCUGGCUGCUGUGCCCCGACAAUGGCAGCCAGGCGUUGGCUUUUAGUUGCUCCGGUAUUUUUCCUCUCUUCCCUCCACAGCUCCCACCAUCCCUUGCCAUUCCUUCCUCUGGGGGCAGACUCUGGCAAAGUGCCCUGGCUGUUGGCAGAGAUAGCAUUUCCGGGCGCCUUUUCCAUCCUUCUUUCCCCCUCACUGGGCUUUGAAACUGCGCGCGCGCGCUGUUCCGAUUUCCAUCGGCUCUGCCGGCGGGACAGUUGGCUCUGGAAUUUCUGGAAUGCGGAACUCCUUCCAACGUUCCCCUUUCCCUUCCCGCCUCUCCAAUGCUCUCGCCUCCUGGCGCGCUCCUAUGGCCAGCGCUGAUUUGGUCAGCUGGUCCAUAGACUCCGCCCUGGGCGCCCGGGAAAGUUCAUCUUUCACAGCCGAAGAAAGCCCUUCUUCAAAGAGCAUUUGAAUGGGUUCCGCCGAUAAGUCCCACCCCAAUCUGUGUAUCAGCAUGGUGAACUCAGUCCAGUACUCACGUACAGAUCGGCUCCCCUGUUUGCAAGCCAUUAACUGUCUGCGCACCACUCCCUUUUCAAUAUCGCUGGAAAACAUCAGAUCCAUGGCGCGAAAGAACUUCAUCGUGUCCUUUAAGACGUCACUAUUAGCUGCCAUCAGGGUUCUCACCCAGUCUCUCGCCCCCUUUUCAAGAUGCCCAAUCACAAAAGCCACUCGUGAUUCCUCAUCAGGAAAUCAUCAAACUGCAGAUUGAGGGCAUAUUGCAUUUCUGUCCGAAAGCUAUGAUAGUCUUUGGGCUCCCCCCCAAAUUUUUGCACCAAUCCUGGUACCUUUCUGGCGAGCUGGGUGGCUUUCUCCCUUUGUCUGCAUCUUGAGCCCUCCUCUCCUCCAGCCUCGCCGUCUGCAGCGCCAGCUGGACCUCCAACACUCGGUACCUUUCUUCCAGGCUUGGACCCGCUCCAGCCCCUGCUUCUCCGGUUCCUGCUGGGUUGCUCAUUAUGCCUUCUCCUGCACAAGCUGCGUUCAAAGACUGUCGGAAUGCUGAGAUGGGAUUAUGAGCUGCUUGUGCGUAAAAUCGUAUUCCCUCAGAGUUUGUUCAAGUCCACAAACCUCUGUCUGUGACUGAGCCCCUCUGACAUGGCUCCUCUUAGUCACUAGAAGAUUCCGACAGUGGUUGCUUUCGUAAUCGCUUCCAACAUAAAAGCUCCUUAACGGAAACACGUCUUCUGGACUCUCUGCGUGACAGUUUCCGGCGAGGAGUGGGUGUCGCUACAGGAGGUCCGGAAACCUCACCACUGUUUUCGCUGGAAGUAUCUCUGAGCCAUCCCCCCAGCUCCCUUUCCCUCAGUUCAGCUUCUCUCCCCCUGCUGGUUUCCUCUUCAGCUGCUAAGUCUCUUCCAACCUGUCUGAGUCCUUUCACCUCCCUUCCUACCGAUGGCAGUUCCCUGACAAUAGCACUCCUGAUGUCAAUGUCUGUUUUCUUCUUCUUUUUUGACCAAUUAUUGCCAUCAAUCGAGCCAGUUCGGUAUACAGAGAAAAGUGGCUAAAUAGUUUAUUUAUUCAAAAGAUAUGAGGGAGCAGCACUGCCUGAUUUAGUCUUGCCAUAUUUCAAAAAUUCCUAACACCCCAGCCUCCCCCCCAAAACAAACAAAAAAUAAAUUAAAAAUUCUCUCCUUUUUUGACAAAGACAAAUGACUGCCCUCAAUCAAGAGCCAGUUGGCUAGACAGAGAGUCAGGGAAAUGCAUCACACCUUACUGGUUUUCCCACUAUCUGUGCAAGCUUUUCACCAUAUCAUUUUAUGCCCCAUUCCGUGCCCAAUAAGUUUGGAGUGAUGCACACCCAGUGGAUCCAUUCCAUCAACAUGGGGAUUGUGAAAUGGUGAACGGAUCCCGGGACCCAAUGCCAUGCCAUCUCUUGCCCUGCCUGCUGCUGUCAAUAAAGAACUGGCCUGAUUUUAUCCCAUCAUUGUUGUACAGUCUGACUAUUUUGCUGUUCUCAUGGGUCACAUAAUGUGCCUGCCGGGGCAAAGAAUGAUUAAAAGAAACCAGCCACAAGAUAGAUCAUUCACACCCACUAUAAGAUUAACUUUAAUCAAUAACGAGAGUUUUAAGCCUCAGGUAAUAUAUAUGUUAUACUGCAGGUAUUUCAAUAGUUCAUUUCUGACUGGAGACUAUGUAAAUCAUAAGGUCUCCCUCUUCACCUUGCUGUGGACAUUUUGAGCGAACACCAAACUCGACAACUUUUUCCUCUUGUUCUCCCCUUCUCUAAAACAUCUUCAUAGGGUGGAUAGAAUGGAGUAUACAGGAAAUAGCUAUAGUUGAAAACUGAACAGAUUGUUUUUCUUUUACUCUUUUAUUAUAUGUUGCAAACUGCUACAGGUUACGUGUAUGAUUUUAGAUGAACAUUUAUUCUCUGUUGUCCAUUUUAAAGGCCUUUGGCUAUAUACAAUAAAAAUUGCUUGAUUGAUUGAUAGUUUUGAGAGAAUCAAUAGGAGUAUAUAAUCAGACUAGGAAAAGUGCUAUGAUACACUUGUACAUUCUUCCAACAAACAUCAAACCAUAGGGAACUUGUUAAUGUCUAUUUGUUGAUUUAUCUCCCUGCCUCUGGUCAUAUCUGAAUAGACACCCAAACCUUUCUGAUUUUUUUCUAUUGAAUGCAGGUCAGACAAUAUCUCCCUAUAUUUGGAUUCUCCGCUCCUCAUUGGUGCUUCUUCUCCUGGUCUCAGCGCCAAUCAUCACCUGUUUCAUGGAGAAGUGUGAUUGCUCCUUGGUUGGACCUAGAAACUAGGAAAUCCCAUUGGAAGAAAGAAAAAUGCCUCCAGACUGUGCUUUGUCUGUCCUCCUUCUCUCAUCCAUUUAUUCACUUACAAUAAUGUUUCCAGUAUUUUACUAAGCCGAGUUCAAGUACUGGUUUUGAUUUUUAGGGUUCCAAUAAAGGGCUUGGGUUCAUGAUGUCUGGUUAGCUUGCCAGAAGUUUUUACAGCAGGUACUGAAAGCAAUACAGCAAAGGUGUCUGCAUAGUAUUAAUGAACAUCUUCAAUGGAUAGCCUUUUAUCUACUGGGAUUUAUAUUAUUUUCUGCUU